UGGCUGCCACCUUCGACGACU
This 21-nucleotide unclassified non-coding RNA is filed under the name Mus musculus (house mouse). Its description in RNAcentral is "oocyte_clustered_small_RNA8631". The record is from RNAcentral. Lineage: Eukaryota; Metazoa; Chordata; Mammalia; Rodentia; Muridae.